RNAcentral lists this ribosomal RNA (357 nucleotides) under Triticum aestivum (bread wheat). RNAcentral describes it as "partial small subunit ribosomal RNA". The record is from RNAcentral. Lineage: Eukaryota; Viridiplantae; Streptophyta; Magnoliopsida; Poales; Poaceae.
AUGAGUAACAAUAAUUACAACAUUAUGUAAUGGAAUGUUAGAGGCCUUAACGCCCCGGCUAAGCGAACAAUGAUCUGUGAAGUUGCCAUUGCGCACAAGACUACAAUUCUAACCCUACAGGAGACCAAAGUAGAGCUCUGGAUGAUAGAAAUUGCAAAGGAGGUCGGAGGAGUAAGCCUUCAAGGGUGUGUGGUACUGCCAGCCUUGGGGACACGAGGAGGGGCUGCCAUUUUUUGGAACAAGGAUAUUGUGUCGAUCGCAUCACACUCAAUUGGCAGAUUUACGGUCACUGCUAAGGUGUCUGAAUUGGGCAGUAAUAUUCGAUAUUGGCUGACUACGGCCUAUAGGCCAAACUGA